This 388-nucleotide ribosomal RNA is filed under the name uncultured bacterium. Its description in RNAcentral is "bacterial SSU rRNA". It matches the Rfam family "Bacterial small subunit ribosomal RNA", at positions 29 to 410 of the family's 1533-position model. The record is from RNAcentral.
AGCGAACGUUAGCGGCGGGCCUAACACAUGCAAGUCGAGCGAGAAAGGGGCUUCGGCUCCGAGUAAAGCGGCAGACGGGUGAGGAACACGUAGGUAACCUUCCUUUCAGCGGAGGACAACGGUCCGAAAGGACCGCUAAUACUGCAUACGUUCCCCGGAUUCGAUUCUGGGAGGAAAGCCUCGCAAGGGGCGACUGAAAGAAGGGGCCGUGCGUCGCAUCAGCUAGUUGGUGGGGUAACGGCCUACCAAGGCGAAGACGCGUAGCUGGUCUGAGAGGAUGAUCAGCCACACUGGGACUGAGACACGGCCCAGACUCCUACGGGAGGCAGCAGUGGGGAAUAUUGGACAAUGGGCGCAAGCCUGAUCCAGCCACGCCGCGUGAGUGAUG